AUUGAACGCUGGCGGCAGGCCUAACACAUGCAAGUCGAACGGUAACAGGAAGCAGCUUGCUGCUUUGCUGACGAGUGGCGGACGGGUGUGUAAUGUCUGGGAAACUGCCCGAUGGAGGGGGAUAACUACUGGAAACGGUAGCUAAUACCGCAUAACGUCGCAAGACCAAAGAGGGGGACCUUAGGGCCUCUUGCCAUCGGAUUUGCCCAGAUGGGAUUAGCUAGUAGGUGGGGUAACGGCUCACCUAGGCGACGAUCCCUAGCUGGUCUGAGAGGAUGACCAGCCACACUGGAACUGAGACACGGUCCAGACUCCUACGGGAGGCAGCAGUGGGGAAUAUUGCACAAUGGGCGCAAGCCUGAUGCAGCCAUGCCGCGUGUAUGAAGAAGGCCUUCGGGUUGUAAAGUACUUUCAGCGGGGAGGAAGGGAGUAAAGUUAAUACCUUUGCUCAUUGACGUUACCCGAAGAAGAAGCACCGGCUAACUACGUG
This 490-nucleotide ribosomal RNA is filed under the name uncultured bacterium. RNAcentral's name for it is "partial 16S ribosomal RNA". It matches the Rfam family "Bacterial small subunit ribosomal RNA", at positions 30 to 507 of the family's 1533-position model. The record is from RNAcentral.